UACAGAGGUGCCAAGCGUUAGGCGGAAUCACUGGGCUUAAAGCGCGCGUAGGCGGAUGUUUACGUGUCUUGUGAAAUCCCACGGCUCAACCGUGGAACUGCUGGGCAUACUGGACAUCUCGAGGCACUCAGGGGCGAGCGGAACAAGUGGUGGAGCGGUGAAAUGCGUAGAUAUCACUUGGAACGCCAAUGGUGAAGGCAGCUCGCUGGGGGUGUCCUGACGCUGAGGCGCGAAAGCCAGGGGAGCGAACGGG
This 253-nucleotide ribosomal RNA is filed under the name uncultured bacterium. RNAcentral describes it as "partial 16S ribosomal RNA". It matches the Rfam family "Bacterial small subunit ribosomal RNA", at positions 524 to 776 of the family's 1533-position model. The record is from RNAcentral.